Molecule: non-coding RNA, 80 nt
Organism: Zea mays
Lineage: Eukaryota; Viridiplantae; Streptophyta; Magnoliopsida; Poales; Poaceae
Source: Rfam
UGCAAUCCGUGAUGCAAGACAAUUUCCUGAACCACUGUGAUUAGUACAGCAAAAAUCACCAUCUUUCGACUGAGAUUGCA